This 466-nucleotide ribosomal RNA is filed under the name uncultured bacterium. RNAcentral's name for it is "bacterial SSU rRNA". It matches the Rfam family "Bacterial small subunit ribosomal RNA", at positions 10 to 522 of the family's 1533-position model. The record is from RNAcentral.
ACUUUGAUUAUGGCUCGGAACGAACGCUGGCGGCAGGCCUAACACAUGCAAGUCGAGCGCGCCCUUCGGGGUGAGCGGCGGACGGGUUAGUAACGCGUGGGAACGUGCCCUUUGGUACGGAAUAGCCUCUGGAAACGGAGAGUAAUACCGUAUGAGCCCUUCGGGGGAAAGAUUUAUCGCCAAAGGAUCGGCCCGCGUUAGAUUAGGUAGUUGGUGGGGUAAUGGCCUACCAAGCCUACGAUCUAUAGCUGGUUUUAGAGGAUGAUCAGCAACACUGGGACUGAGACACGGCCCAGACUCCUACGGGAGGCAGCAGUGGGGAAUCUUGGACAAUGGGGGCAACCCUGAUCCAGCCAUGCCGCGUGAGUGAUGAAGGCCUUAGGGUCGUAAAGCUCUUUCGCCUGUGAAGAUAAUGACGGUAGCAGGUAAAGAAACCCCGGCUAACUCCGUGCCAGCAGCCGCGGUA